AGGCCUUCCUUGCCACGUUCUCUUCGGAUUUGGCGUUUGUCCUUGCCCAGGCCUUCCUUGCCACGUUCCCUUUCGCUAUGAGGUUUUCCCUCCCGCACGCCUUCAUUGCUGCGUUCUCUUCGGAUUUGGCGUUUGCCCUCGCCCAGGCCUUCCGUGUGGCGUUCUUCCUCCUGUUGCAUGUGUGUUGGUUUUUCCUUGAGUGUUCUAAUUGUCUUCGCUUCUGACUUCUCCUUCCCUCGCUCUUCUCCUUGCCUUGGCCUUGCUGUUCCCUUGGGUUUUCUGCUUGCCUUUGCUUCACUGGGAUUGGCGGAGAGGCAGCAUUCAUGGUGAUCUGCACCUCAACCCUAAGCUUAAUGGGAGCUCCAGAGAUAAUUGUCGUAACCCACCCUGUAACUUGAAAGCUCACCCUUAACCCAAUGCUACAAAUGUCUCUAAUGCUCAGUGUAGGCAUAAAAGCAGUGACUGGGGUUUGCUGUCCAAGUCAUCUUAACCCAAAUUGUCAUGUCAAAGCCAUUGUUGAACUAACUGUCACUUUAAUCCCAUAUCUAGCUUAAAUUAGAACCCUCAUGCUUCAAAAUAUCAUUGGUGUAUCCUUCGAACAAUUCCUUACUGUAAUUUUCCUCUUAAUGAAUGUUUCAACCCUGUUUAGGAAUAGACAAACACUGUCGUCAUGGUUACAGCCCCACGCUCUCCUAAUGCCGACUGCGCUGGCGACUCGGAGUGCAGCUCUGAAGAUGCACUGAGACCCUGCAGAUCCAGACCCUACUCGGACACCGACUCGACAGCUGAAAGAAGGUAGGCCCUCGGACUGCCGCACGCCAGGACCAGCACGGAGCGGCUCUGGGACGGGUGCGGUCGAGCCCGUGGAUCGUUCCCACCGCCGUACUCGGUGGCGACGGAGAUUUGCGGUGCUCCUGGGUGGUGCCAGAAUUGCACGGAGACCUGUGGCUCCUCAUGAAGUCAGCUUGAAGCAGAACCCUGGAUUUCCUGGAAUGCCUCGGAACCCUCCUUGUCUGUCUGGUAACUGGUUGCCCAUACAGGUAAAGGUAAUUUACACCCACCACUGUUGACCAUUUCCAUUGCGUGGCUCAAGGUAGUGCUCCCUGAGCUUGUAACUGCACUUGAGGGUACCCUGAAGGC
This is a long non-coding RNA of Numida meleagris (helmeted guineafowl), 1140 nucleotides long. RefSeq lists it as uncharacterized. The record is from RefSeq and is a predicted model, not a curated record. The transcript is spliced from 3 exons. Lineage: Eukaryota; Metazoa; Chordata; Aves; Galliformes; Numididae.